ACCAGCUGUGGGUCCUUAGGCCAGUGAGCUUCUCUCUUUGGCUCUUGACUUUCCUCAUCAGGAAAGUAGAUCAGGUUGGUUUACUCUAGACUGUUGAAUGGGGCGCCUCAAACUUCCACGUGCAGAGGAAUCGCUUGGGGAUCUAGUUAAAGGCAGAUCCUGAUUCAUAUGUCUGCUCUCAAGCUGGGGAGCUGAGUCUUACUGGGUUAGAGGAGACUGCAAAUCCAAAGAGCUCCCAGGUGUUGCUGAUGCUGCUGGUCCACGCGCCUCGCUUUCCCCAGCCGGAGUCAUCAUCUGUAAUGUUGAACCUGCUGUGAGUCUAGAAAAAAGCAAACCAAAGUUGAAGCCCUGAGGCUCUGAGAAACUCAGAUGGUAUUUUUUUCAAUGGAUGGAGAACAUGGCAGAGAGAAGCUGAGGGAGUCUGGAAGGUGGACGAUUUAGGCCCAGGGAGACGGGACCUUAGUCGGGCUCCUCUGGCUAGACUCGAAGCUCCUUGAGGGCAAAGACCAUUUCCAAAUCAUUUCUCUAUCUUGUGUGUUGGAUGAAUGAAAAAAAUGAGUACUGAUUGUGAAGAAAAAUCUAGAUUCAGAGCCCGUUGGAUGUUGGGAGUCUUAAGAACUAUCCUACCUCUUUCCAAAUGACAGGUGUGAGGAAUUAUGCAGACAAGCAAUAUGAUUGGCAGGAGACAGUCACCUAAGCAGACCAAUGCGUUGGAGGAAGGGAAGGGUCCUGAAGCCAAGAGGCAUCGAGAUGACUGACACUUAACCAAUUGCUCAUAAGUAACAACUACCUCAAGGCCAGAGGUGAUUGGAUCAGAAGUGGACACUGGCCCAACUUCAGCCUCCUCUCCUCUUUGGGAUACACCCAAGCUGCCGAUGUGUCUAGAAUGGCUCCAUCCUGCCAGCUGCCUUGCUCUUCCUCUGCUCAGAAGCAGCUCCAUUUUGCCAGAUAAGUGGAGGAUACAUCCCAAGGAAACGUUUUGCCAUCAGGCCAUGGUGUCGGGUUCUGACAGAUUGUGUGGCCGAUUUGUCAUUCACUGCGAGUGUCUUAAAGUCUCUAUCAGAGAGCAGGCGUUGCACAUUUGUGGAAUUCAGUGAUUGUUUUCUAUUAAAAGCACAGUGUUAGAGCUCUGAAGCUGUCAAGUCAGGAUGAUGUUGCCACAUCCUCUGAUGCAGCCCUUUCUGGAUGAUUUUUAAGUGGUAAAGUGUUAGGUUUCUGAAAUGAGAAGAGAUCUCAGAAAAGCUAAUAAAAACAUCCAAUGAAUAAAUCUGUCCUCACACAUUAGCUGAGUACUCAGUGUGCCCAGCAUUAUGACAAUCAUAAUAAAUGUCUAUGUGCACUCAUUCUAUUACAUAUGUUAUAUCAGAUAUAAUACUAUAUAUUAUAUUAUUAACUAUAUCAUAUUUUGUCCAAUUCCCUUUAAAUUUUUUAAAAAUUUUAAAAUAGUAAUGAAAAGUAAAUUGUUGAAAAAAGUGAAAUUUUUGUGAUGAGACUUUAGCCAUAUUCGUAAAAUGAGUUUAUGUGCCUGAAGGAACAAAUAUUUAAAAUAUAAGCAAUAAAGCCCAGAUAUAUUUCUGUACUGCAUACUUACAACUGGGGAAAACCAAACAGAGUUCAGGAAAGAGGAGCAUGAAGGACAGUGUGAUGCAGCCCCCUGGAUCCUCUUUUAGUGGACUUGUUGCCGCGGCUGCUGGGAGUGCUGCUGGCAGACAGUCUUAGCCAUCAGCCCCUUAGGGUUGCCUCAAGUCUACACAGCCACCUAGCCAAGGUCAUGCCCUUCCCAGGGAAGCCCACCCCCAAUGGCUGAUUGAUGCAAGAGCAUAGAGGCUAUCUUGCACCAGCACCAGGAGACCUCUUAUCUCCUAGAGCUGGAGGGCAGAAAGAACUGUAGACCAGGCCCAAGACGUAAUCAUCAAAGUAACUGAGCAUCCAAAGAUGAAGUCUCCUGAUGGAGGCAGGACUGUCAUGUCAAAGUCAGGGCCCCAGUUGAGAAAGAACAGGACCCUGACUGGCAGGAUGAAGACAUCUGGGUUGAUGACCUCCAAAAUCUUGAAUUUUUGUGGAUGAAAAUAUUGCAAUUGCAGUCAAUGGCAAGGUCAAAGUGGAUCCUGAUACGGAGAGAAUGAUGAGAUGGUUAAUAGAAUGUGAUGGAUGUGUUUGGCACCCAGAUUGUCCACUGGGGUGGCUCUUGGUCUUCCUUAUCCAAUUUUGAUGGUGAAUGGGCAAGAGUGGCAAUUCAGACCUAUCGGGGGUGAGGGUCCUGGUCACACCUCUCACCACACAGGUAUGCCACUGAGAUCAGUGGAGAUGCGGGCUAAGGGUGAGUGGAAUCUAAAAUGGAUGGUAGAGGAGAGUGGAGAUGAGUAUCGGUUGUGGUCCUAAGGCUAGCUACGGCGGCGGGGGGACUAUAGUUUCCUUCAGGAAGAGGGGUCCAUUGGAAUCCCAGAGUUGCUUCUUUCAGAACAUAUAUGAAGUUGUGGAUCCUAGCAGUACGAGGUGUGGCUGAGAUGGACAUAGAAAUGUGCUGUGCAGAUCCCGUCUCAGUGAAGAACUUGCAAUGUGGGCAGACAGCCUUCAGAUGUUAAUCCCUGAAGGAUGGUCUCAGCUGCAGAGAGGCACCUCAGCAAGACUAAGCCCUUCUUGGGGGUGCUUAUAUCCAAAGACUAAUUUAUGAAGGGGUAUAAAUUGCCUGGCCGUUUUGGGACAACAUGGAAGGGCCCCUCUAGUCCCAGCUGAGGCUCUCUUUGGGCCUGCAUUGCAGCUCAGUUCUCCCUCUGCCCACUCCUGCUUCCUUACCCUCCAUAUCACAGAUGAUCCCAGGGCACUCCUUUGUAAAUAUCUUGCAUGCUAAAUUCUGUCUCAGAAUCUGCUUCCCAGAGAACCCAUGUGCAACAGGGAGGUUUUAUUUGAUUGUAUAUUUUAGUUAUUGUGUCUCAUAUUUAUUUUAAUUUAAAAAAGUCACCUCCUGCUACCUCCCACUCCUAACCCUUUUCGUGCCUUUGAUUUGUCCUGUAGAAAUCUGGUUUGGGCUAUUUGUUUCCUCAUGGUGUCAUUUAACUCGUUGCUACAUUGCCUGUAUUUCCUGUAAACUGGAAACUAGAUAUAAAGUUUUGAUUGGAUUGAAGUUCAACAUUUUGGAGAAGAAGACAUUUUGAAAGAACUGUGUGCUUCCCAUUGCAUCAUCCCAGGAGGCGUAGUGACUCGUCGUCCCACUUUGAUGCUGCCAAGAUGGAUCUGUCUGACCCUCCAUUGUAACACUGAGUUUCUCCGCUCAUGACUAUCAGGGAAUAUGUGGAAUAAUGCUGUGGUCAAGUUGCCCACAAACCUUUCUUCUAAUGAUUACAGCACCCAUUGACAAUCUUUGCUUGAAUUUCUUUAGGGGCCGCGAAAUGAUCUAUUUCUAUUUUUCUUUCCACAUUGAUUGGCUAGAAUUCUUCAAAGAUUUUCUUCAUCUAACCAUGGCUCUUUGAAGAGUUCACACAAGAAAGAUUCCUCCAAUGGUGACAAAAACAAUUUUUUAUGCAUGUGUAAUUUUGGGGGUUACAUUUUAAUUUUGUUUUGUUUGUGGUUUUCUCUUUGUAUGAGUUUCAUAUUAUUAAUUGACAGCAUUUUAAAACAUAUUUAGUUGUCUUGAUCGGUUGCAGUUAUUUUUAUUAUUUUUCUAUCAUAGGAAUUUAGAAAUAUAUAAAAGUAGAAAGAAUAGUUCAACCAACUUGAUUUCCUGUACAGCAUUUGACUUUAACAAUUAUCAAAAUUUGGUCAAUCUUAUUUACCUUUCCUCUACUUCUCCACAGAUUAUACUAAAGCCAAUCUUGGACCUAAUGCCAUUUCAUCUGUAGACAGUUCAGUCUAUAUCUCUACAACAUAAGAACUAUAAAUAAAAACAAAAAUAAAACCAUAAUCCCAUUAUCACAUCUAAAAAUUAAUGAUUUCUUAGAAUUAUCAAAUACCCAGUGUUCACAUUUUCUGAUUGUAUUAAGAAUCUUUUUAAAAAAAAUUCUUUGUGAUACUUUUUGGCUCCUGAUCCAGACAAGUUCCACACAUUGUAAUUGGUUUAUAAUUUCUCAAGUCUCUUUUGAUUUGUAGGUUUCCCUCCAUUUCUUUUUUUCUCCAAUUUUUGUUAUUGUUGAAGAAACAAAGUUACUAGUCCUGCAGAGUUUCCCAAAGUUUGGAUUUUACUGAUUGCAUCUUUAAGUUGUCAUUUAACAUGUUCCUCUGACUUGUCUAUUGCUAAUUGGAGCAAAUUUGAUCCUUUUUUUUUUGUUUUUUGCAAGACUACUUUAUAGAGAGUGGUGGUUUUCUCCAACAGGAGGCACAUGGUGUACGACUGUCUGUCUUUCUGUGAUGUGAGCAUCCACUGAUGAUUAUUGCCUUGAUUCAUUUAUCUAUCAGAAGUUGCAACAUGAU
This 4407-nucleotide long non-coding RNA is filed under the name Equus caballus (horse). Its description in RNAcentral is "lncRNA (ENSECAG00000045853.1)". The record is from RNAcentral. Lineage: Eukaryota; Metazoa; Chordata; Mammalia; Perissodactyla; Equidae.